RNAcentral lists this ribosomal RNA (468 nucleotides) under uncultured bacterium. RNAcentral's name for it is "partial 16S ribosomal RNA". It matches the Rfam family "Bacterial small subunit ribosomal RNA", at positions 28 to 507 of the family's 1533-position model. The record is from RNAcentral.
GACGAACGCUGGCGGCGUGCUUAACACAUGCAAGUCGAACGGAAAGGCCCUGCUUUUGUGGGGUGCUCGAGUGGCGAACGGGUGAGUAACACGUGAGUAACCUGCCCUUGACUUUGGGAUAACUUCAGGAAACUGGGGCUAAUACCGGAUAGGAGCUCCUGCUGCGUGGUGGGGGUUGGAAAGUUUCGGCGGUUUGGGAUGGACUCGCGGCUUAUCAGCUUGUUGGUGGGGGAGUGGCUUACCAAGGCUUUGACGGGUAGCCGGCCUGAGAGGGUGACCGGCCACAUUGGGACUGAGAGACGGCCCAGACUCCUACGGGAGGCAGCAGUGGGGAAUAUGGCACAAUGGGCGGACGCCUGAUGCAGAAACGCCGCGUGCGGGAUGCCGGCCUUCGGGUUGUAAACCGCUUUCGCCUGUGACGAAGCGUGAGUGACGGUACCGGGUAAAGAAGCACCGGCUAACUACGUG